RNAcentral lists this ribosomal RNA (496 nucleotides) under uncultured bacterium. Its description in RNAcentral is "partial 16S ribosomal RNA". It matches the Rfam family "Bacterial small subunit ribosomal RNA", at positions 29 to 507 of the family's 1533-position model. The record is from RNAcentral.
AUGAACGCUGGCGGCGUGCCUAAUACAUGCAAGUCGAGCGAACGGACGAGAAGCUUGCUUCUCUGAUGUUAGCGGCGGACGGGUGAGUGACACGUGGAUAACCUACCUAUAAGACUGGGAUAACUUCGGGAAACCGGAGCUAAUACCGGAUAAUAUUUUGAACCGCAUGGUUCAAAAGUAAAAGACGGUCUUGCUGUCACUUAUAGAUGGAUCCGCGCUGCAUUAGCUAGUUGGUAAGGUAACGGCUUACCAAGGCAACGAUGCAUAGCCGACCUGAGAGGGUGAUCGGCCACACUGGAACUGAGACACGGUCCAGACUCCUACGGGAGGCAGCAGUAGGGAAUCUUCCGCAAUGGGCGAAAGCCUGACGGAGCAACGCCGCGUGAGUGAUGAAGGUCUUCGGAUCGUAAAACUCUGUUAUUAGGGAAGAACAUAUGUGUAAGUAACUGUGCACAUCUUGACGGUACCUAAUCAGAAAGCCACGGCUAACUACGUG